This 360-nucleotide ribosomal RNA is filed under the name Sergentomyia bailyi. Its description in RNAcentral is "SSU rRNA". It matches the Rfam family "Eukaryotic small subunit ribosomal RNA", at positions 150 to 490 of the family's 1831-position model. The record is from RNAcentral. Lineage: Eukaryota; Metazoa; Arthropoda; Insecta; Diptera; Psychodidae.
UGGUAAUUCCAGAGCUAAUACAUGCAAACAACAUGGAUCCCUGCAGCAAUGUGGGUGAAACAUGUGCUUUUAUUAGAUUAAAACCAUGUCCACUCUCGGGUGGGCUUGUUUUAGAUGAAUCUGGAUAAUUAUGGCUGAUCGUAUGGUCUUGCACCGACGAUAGAUCAUUCAAAUGUCUGCCCUAUCAACUAUUGAUGGUAGUAUAGAGGACUACCAUGGUUGCAACGGGUAACGGGGAAUCAGGGUUCGAUUCCGGAGAGGGAGCCUGAGAAACGGCUACCACAUCUAAGGAAGGCAGCAGGCGCGUAAAUUACCCAAUCCCGGCACGGGGAGGUAGUGACGAAAAAUAACAAUACAGGA